Molecule: non-coding RNA, 125 nt
Organism: Triticum aestivum (bread wheat)
Lineage: Eukaryota; Viridiplantae; Streptophyta; Magnoliopsida; Poales; Poaceae
Source: Rfam
AUUGUACUCCCUCCGUCCGGAAAUACUUGUCGAAGGAAUGGAUGUAUCUAGACGUAUCUUAGUUUUAGAUACAUCUAUUUUUAUCCAUUUCUCCGACAAGUAUUUUGGGAUGGAGGGAGUAGUUG